RNAcentral lists this ribosomal RNA (524 nucleotides) under Enterococcus faecalis. RNAcentral's name for it is "bacterial SSU rRNA". It matches the Rfam family "Bacterial small subunit ribosomal RNA", at positions 1017 to 1533 of the family's 1533-position model. Lineage: Bacteria; Bacillati; Bacillota; Bacilli; Lactobacillales; Enterococcaceae. The record is from RNAcentral.
CCUUCGGGGACAAAGUGACAGGUGGUGCAUGGUUGUCGUCAGCUCGUGUCGUGAGAUGUUGGGUUAAGUCCCGCAACGAGCGCAACCCUUAUUGUUAGUUGCCAUCAUUUAGUUGGGCACUCUAGCGAGACUGCCGGUGACAAACCGGAGGAAGGUGGGGAUGACGUCAAAUCAUCAUGCCCCUUAUGACCUGGGCUACACACGUGCUACAAUGGGAAGUACAACGAGUCGCUAGACCGCGAGGUCAUGCAAAUCUCUUAAAGCUUCUCUCAGUUCGGAUUGCAGGCUGCAACUCGCCUGCAUGAAGCCGGAAUCGCUAGUAAUCGCGGAUCAGCACGCCGCGGUGAAUACGUUCCCGGGCCUUGUACACACCGCCCGUCACACCACGAGAGUUUGUAACACCCGAAGUCGGUGAGGUAACCUUUUUGGAGCCAGCCGCCUAAGGUGGGAUAGAUGAUUGGGGUGAAGUCGUAACAAGGUAGCCGUAUCGGAAGGUGCGGCUGGAUCACCUCCUUUCUAAGGAA